RNAcentral lists this ribosomal RNA (195 nucleotides) under uncultured Actinomycetales bacterium. RNAcentral describes it as "partial 16S ribosomal RNA". It matches the Rfam family "Bacterial small subunit ribosomal RNA", at positions 138 to 334 of the family's 1533-position model. The record is from RNAcentral. Lineage: Bacteria; Bacillati; Actinomycetota; Actinomycetes; Actinomycetales.
UUGGGAUAACUUCAGGAAACUGGGGCUAAUACCGGAUAGGAGCUCCUGCUGCAUGGUGGGGGUUGGAAAGUUUCGGCGGUUGGGGAUGGACUCGCGGCUUAUCAGCUUGUUGGUGGGGUAGUGGCUUACCAAGGCUUCGACGGGUAGCCGGCCUGAGAGGGUGACCGGCCACAUUGGGACUGAGAUACGGCCCAG